This 31-nucleotide non-coding RNA is filed under the name Mus musculus (house mouse). Lineage: Eukaryota; Metazoa; Chordata; Mammalia; Rodentia; Muridae. The record is from RNAcentral.
UACUAGCCUUGGAGUUUCAUGUUCUCUCCUA